Molecule: long non-coding RNA, 386 nt
Filed under: Oryza brachyantha (malo sina)
Lineage: Eukaryota; Viridiplantae; Streptophyta; Magnoliopsida; Poales; Poaceae
Description: long non-coding RNA (OBRA_LNC002845)
Source: RNAcentral
UUACAAUGAGUUAAUUUGAUUUACAACGACUCAUGAACAAGUCAAACACGAAUAUGGCCAAACCAACAACCGACCUUUUGACAGAAUGAAUUAGUGUUUCUUCAGGUCCUACUAAUCUAGUGAUAUAGAAGAUUAGCACCAGAUAACACAAGCCAUUUUACAUCAUUUAGUCCAAAAGGUAGACUCUACAUAAAAUUAUGUUGCAUAGGGACAGUAGGUGAAACUUUUUUUUUGGGAAGGAAAAAAGCUAUCUAUUUAACGGCAGAGUAGUUAGCAUCAUUUUUUCUCAGGUAGCUUCCAUGCAAUGAAAAUGUUGUUUUUGAUUCUCUCCAUCAUCUCACCAUAUGUAUUUCUUACCGAGUGAUAGAAUUAUAAGCAUGAUUUGG